This 548-nucleotide ribosomal RNA is filed under the name Escherichia coli. RNAcentral describes it as "partial 23S ribosomal RNA". It matches the Rfam family "Bacterial large subunit ribosomal RNA", at positions 1 to 589 of the family's 2925-position model. The record is from RNAcentral. Lineage: Bacteria; Pseudomonadati; Pseudomonadota; Gammaproteobacteria; Enterobacterales; Enterobacteriaceae.
GUUAAGCGACUAAGCGUACACGGUGGAUGCCCUGGCAGUCAGAGGCGAUGAAGGACGUGCUAAUCUGCGAUAAGCGUCGGUGAGGUGAUAUGAACCGUUAUAACCGGCGAUUUCCGAAUGGGGAAACCCAGUGUGUUUCGACACACUAUCAUUAACUGAAUCCAUAGGUUAAUGAGGCGAACCGGGGGAACUGAAACAUCUAAGUACCCCGAGGAAAAGAAAUCAACCGAGAUUCCCCCAGUAGCGGCGAGCGAACGGGGAGGAGCCCAGAGCCUGAAUCAGUGUGUGUGUUAGUGGAAGCGUCUGGAAAGGCGUGCGAUACAGGGUGACAGCCCCGUACACAAAAAUGCACAUAUUGUGAGCUCGAUGAGUAGGGCGGGACACGUGGUAUCCUGUCUGAAUAUGGGGGGACCAUCCUCCAAGGCUAAAUACUCCUGACUGACCGAUAGUGAACCAGUACCGUGAGGGAAAGGCGAAAAGAACCCCGGCGAGGGGAGUGAAAAAGAACCUGAAACCGUGUACGUACAAGCAGUGGGAGCCUCUUAAUG